GCCUGAUCGCUACCUGAGAUCCUUCCGCAGGGUCCUACUUAUGGUUCCCAAAUUUUGGCUUGUCACUAAAGGUGACUGGGCCCCUGCUGUCCGGCCCCUCAGCUGUGGAACUCCCUGCCCGACGAUCUCAGGAAGCUUUCCACAUAUACUGUUUGUGUUCAUUUAAAAAGACGCGAGGAGUGAGCCUAUACAGCAGUGUCAUAACAGAAGAGGUAACUGAGAUCUCACUGGAACCUGACAGGAAGGAAGGCGAGAAGAGAAAGAAAUUCAAGCAAAGUCAUGUCACAGUUUUUCCAUUUAAUCCACUGGGAUCUAACGUCUUCAGUUGAACGAUCCAUCUCCUCUCCGCUCGUUUACCCUGUAGGGUGGACCAGCCGUCUCUGCCCUCCACACAUCUAUACCCGAGAUGCUCCAAAACAAACAUUUUAAAAGUGCCCAUGAAGUAAGGUGGUGACCCUCCCUCCCUGAAUACAAUAAAAAAUGUUAAGUCAUUAGGGUUUUCAAGGUUCUGCUUGUUUCACCAAAGUACAGUUUGUCCCAAUGUUCACACUGGAUGAGAUGAACCCAUUAGGGAUCUUCUGGUGUACAUUUCAGAGGGAGAGGAGCUCCACAGCCUAAAUGCCUGCUGACUAUGAAGGGGAAAUGGUUGAGAAGGUAUUGAUCAUAUUGUUUAAAUGGCUUAUAAAAGGCUUAUAAAAUGCAGUAUGAACUAAAAUAUCCGUUGGAGUUUCUUUAGUACCUAGUCGAUGUGAUGGAACUGUGCACCAGGGAAGCUGUCAACUUGAACUUCAUCACUGGUGAAUGGUGGAAUACGAGCCAGGUUCCCGGACAGAAGCAAGGCCAGACAUUGAAGGUGACUGUGUUUUGGAAAGUUUUGCUAUACUUUACUAUUGACCUUAGGACAAGUCUGGAAAGCCUCUGAACGGUCCUGGGCUGACGGGUGAUUUGGGAACAGAAGGAGGUGAUUGGGACUUGGAGGGGCCUUGACAGUCCUAGGGGAUGAGGUAGAAGAAGGAGGAGAGGGUGAGAUCUGAUGGGAAUGUAACUCACGCCUCUCUGUGUCUGGCCUCUCAGAGGCUGUGGUAAGUGAGCUUUCACUGUCUCCUCCCUCGACUUGUGAAGAAAUGAUAGAGAGAUUGUGUACUGCUAAGGGAGCGUGAUGGAGUUCUGCUGUGAUCUCCCUAGAUGUGGGAUGAGCUACAGGAGUCUGCUUAGCUUGAGGCAAAAGAGGCUCAACUGCUGUGCUCUCUGGCUGCCCUAUUGUGGGCUUUUGAACCGUCUGUUGAGACUGAGCUGAAGGUGGAAGAGGUGGGAACUCGUCAGGUGGCAACUCCUUGGGUAAGCGACUACGCGGUGGCUCCCCCAGAAGGGGAUAGUUAAAACAUUUUUAAAAAAUUAAAAAAAAAAAUUAAAAAUUAAAAUUAAAAAAUAGAUACAAAAUGAAUUUAAAAUAUUAAAAACACAAAUAUAAACAACCUACAAAUAAUAAGGAAGGUAAGAGUAGAAGGUAAAAAUAAACAGUUAAUUGUUUAGACCAUAAAAAUCCAAAUAAUCAAAGAAAAAGGAGAUUUUGACUCACUGGGAUUUCUAAGCUUGUCCUGACAUCUGGUGGUCUGUUAACAGAACUACACCCUUAAACAAAAUCCCCAACUAAGAGAAGGUGUGUUAAAACAGCUUUCAAUGUCCAAACAAACUUUUAAACAAAAAAAAAAAUAUAUAUAGUAAGCCCUAAUAAAUAUAUAUAU
Long non-coding RNA from Siniperca chuatsi (mandarin fish), 1745 nucleotides. RefSeq lists it as uncharacterized. The transcript is spliced from 5 exons. The record is from RefSeq and is a predicted model, not a curated record. NCBI's taxonomy places the organism in Eukaryota, Metazoa, Chordata, Actinopteri, Centrarchiformes, Sinipercidae.